This 467-nucleotide ribosomal RNA is filed under the name uncultured bacterium. Its description in RNAcentral is "partial 16S ribosomal RNA". It matches the Rfam family "Bacterial small subunit ribosomal RNA", at positions 28 to 506 of the family's 1533-position model. The record is from RNAcentral.
GACGAACGCUGGCGGCGUGCUUAACACAUGCAAGUCGAACGGAAAGGCCCUGCUUUUGUGGGGUGCUCGAGUGGCGAACGGGUGAGUAACACGGGAGUAACCUGCCCUUGACUUUGGGAUAACUUCAGGAAACUGGGGCUAAUACCGGAUAGGAGCUCCUGCUGCAUGGUGGGGGUUGGAAAGUUUCGGCGGUUUGGGAUGGACGCGCGGCUUAUCAGCUUGUUGGUGGGGUAGUGGCUUACCCAGGCUUUGACGGGUAGCCGGCCUGGGAGGGUGACCGGCCACAUUGGGCCUGAGGUACGGCCCAGACUCAUUCGUGAGGCAGCAGUGGGGACUAUUGCCCAAUGGGCCGAGGGCGGAUGCAGGAACGUCGCGUGCGGGAUGACGGCAUUCGGGUUGUAAGCCGAUUUCGCCUGUGACGAAGCGUGAGUGACUGUACUGCGUAAAGAAGCACCGGCUACCUACGU